Molecule: unclassified non-coding RNA, 391 nt
Filed under: Zea mays
Lineage: Eukaryota; Viridiplantae; Streptophyta; Magnoliopsida; Poales; Poaceae
Description: misc RNA Zm00001eb368170
Source: RNAcentral
CAGGCGUAUGUGUAUACUUGCAAAACGACUUAUUUCUAUCAUCAAAUCACCAGAAAAGAAAGAAAGAAAAAGAACGUGAACAAUCACCACCUAAUAAUUAACUACGUACGUCUUCUUUCACCCGGGCCUCCUUCGGCAACGCUUGCUUUCUCCCCAUGGGCCAUGUCCAGCCAGCUUCCACCUUUCAAAUGUACAACGGCGCGCACACGCACGCGCAAGUCCGCAGUCCGUGCCGUGGCGCGAUCACCUCCUCUUGUUCUUGCUGCCGAGCACGAGGCUGAAGUAGAAGAGGAUCCGGAAGAGGAACCCCCAAGCCAUGGUGACGAGCAGGCACUCCCACUUGCCGAGCUGCGUCACCGCCGCCUGCUGCAGCACGCCGCGGCCCGUGACC